This 497-nucleotide ribosomal RNA is filed under the name uncultured bacterium. RNAcentral describes it as "partial 16S ribosomal RNA". It matches the Rfam family "Bacterial small subunit ribosomal RNA", at positions 28 to 507 of the family's 1533-position model. The record is from RNAcentral.
GAUGAACGCUGGCGGCGUGCCUAAUACAUGCAAGUCGAGCGAACGGACGCGACGCUUGCUUCUCUGAUGUUAGCGGCGGACGGGUGAGUAACACGUGGAUAACCUACCUAUCAGACUGGGAUAACUUCGGGACACCGGCGCUAAUCCCGGAUGAUCUUUUGAACCGCAUGGUUCAAAAGUGAAAGACGGUCUUGCUGUCACUUCUCGAUGGAUCCGCGCUGCAUUAGAUAGUUGGGAAGGUAACGGCUUACCAAGGCAACGAUGCAUAGCCGACCUGAGAGGGUGAUAGGCCACACGGGAACUGAGACACGGUCAAGACGCCUACGGGAGGCAGCAGUAGGGAAUGUUCCGCAAUGGGCGAAAGCAUGACGGAGCAACGCCGCGCGAGUGAUGAAGGUCUUCGGAUCGUAAAAAUCUGUUAUUAGGGAAGAACAUAUGUGUAAGUAACUGUGCACAGCUUGACGGUACCUAAUCAGAAAGCCACGGCUAACUACGUG